Molecule: long non-coding RNA, 189 nt
Organism: Saccostrea cuccullata (small rock oyster)
Lineage: Eukaryota; Metazoa; Mollusca; Bivalvia; Ostreida; Ostreidae
Exons: 3
Source: RefSeq, a predicted model, not a curated record
GAAAAAAGGGUCUUGAUUGGAAAUGGGGAGAUCAAGAUGGCGGCGAGGGUAAUGUAGGAACAGUAUAUAGAGUCGAAAUGGAUGCUGUUGUUUAUGUAAAAUGGCCCAAUGGCAAUCGAAGUAACUACAGAUAUGGAUACGAAAGCAAGCAUGAUGUGCAGCUGUGUGAUCCAUUUGAGUCGUGUCUUC